CCUACGGGGGGCAGCAGUGGGGAAUAUUGCACAAUGGGGGGAACCCUGAUGCAGCGACGCCGCGUGAGUGAAGAAGUAUUUCGGUAUGUAAAGCUCUAUCAGCAGGGAAGAAAAUGACGGUACCUGACUAAGAAGCCCCGGCUAACUACGUGCCAGCAGCCGCGGUAAUACGUAGGGGGCAAGCGUUAUCCGGAUUUACUGGGUGUAAAGGGAGCGUAGACGGCAGAGCAAGUCUGAAGUGAAAGCCCGCGGCCCAACUGCGGGACUGCUUUGGAAACUGCCCGGCUAGAGUGCUGGAGAGGUAAGCGGAAUUCCUAGUGUAGCGGUGGAAUGCGUAGAUAUAUGGAAGAACACCAGUGGCGAAGGCGGCUGUCUGGUCUGCAACUGACGCUGAGGCUCGAAAGCAUGGGUAGCGAACAGGAUUAGAUACCCCUGUAGUC
Molecule: ribosomal RNA, 440 nt
Filed under: uncultured bacterium
Lineage: Bacteria
Description: partial 16S ribosomal RNA
Rfam family: Bacterial small subunit ribosomal RNA
Source: RNAcentral